UGAGUAACCUGCCCUUAACUCUGGGAUAAGCCUGGGAAACUGGGUCUAAUACCGGAUAUGACUCCUCAUCGCAUGGUGGGGGGUGGAAAGCUUUAUUGUGGUUUUGGAUGGACUCGCGGCCUAUCAGCUUGUUGGUGAGGUAAUGGCUCACCAAGGCGACGACGGGUAGCCGGCCUGAGAGGGUGACCCGGCCACACGUGGGACUGAGACACCGGCCCAGACCUCCGUACGGGAGCAG
RNAcentral lists this ribosomal RNA (238 nucleotides) under uncultured bacterium. RNAcentral's name for it is "partial 16S ribosomal RNA". It matches the Rfam family "Bacterial small subunit ribosomal RNA", at positions 118 to 347 of the family's 1533-position model. The record is from RNAcentral.